UACGUAGGGUCCGAGCGUUGUCCGGAAUUAUUGGGCGUAAAGAGCUCGUAGGCGGUUUGUCGCGUCUGCUGUGAAAUCCCGAGGCUCAACCUCGGGCCUGCAGUGGGUACGGGCAGACUGGAGUGCGGUAGGGGAGAAUGGAAUUCCUGGUGUAGCGGUGGAAUGCGCAGAUAUCAGGAGGAACACCGAUGGCGAAGGCAGUUCUCUGGGCCGUAACUGACGCUGAGGAGCGAAAGCGUGGGAAGCGAACAGG
Molecule: ribosomal RNA, 253 nt
Filed under: uncultured bacterium
Lineage: Bacteria
Description: partial 16S ribosomal RNA
Rfam family: Bacterial small subunit ribosomal RNA
Source: RNAcentral